RNAcentral lists this non-coding RNA (49 nucleotides) under unclassified sequences. RNAcentral describes it as "L31-Actinobacteria ribosomal protein leader". It matches the Rfam family "L31-Actinobacteria ribosomal protein leader". The record is from RNAcentral.
CCGGUUCCGGUUCACGCUGUCCGCAUGAGAUGACGGCGACCCGGCGACC